GCCUGGGUGGCUCAGUCGGUUGAGCGUCCGACUUUGGCUCAGGUCAUGAUCUCACGGUUCGUGGGUUCGAGCCCCGUGUCGGGCU
RNAcentral lists this transfer RNA (85 nucleotides) under Felis catus (domestic cat). It matches the Rfam family "tRNA". Rfam says of the family: Transfer RNA (tRNA) molecules are approximately 80 nucleotides in length. The record is from Rfam by way of RNAcentral. Lineage: Eukaryota; Metazoa; Chordata; Mammalia; Carnivora; Felidae.